GAUUCCCCUAGUAACUGCGAGUGAAGCGGGAAAAGCUCAAAUUUGAAAUCUGGCAGUCUUUUUUUUCUUCUUUGGCUGUCCGAGUUGUAAUCUAGAGAAGUGCUUACCUGCACUGGACCAUGUAUAAGUCUCCUGGAAUGGAGCGUCACAGAGGGUGAGAAUCCCGUCUUUGACAUGGACUGCCAGUGUGUUGUGGUGUGCUCUCAAAGAGUCGAGUUGUUUGGGAAUGCAGCUCUAAAUGGGUGGUAAACUCCAUCUAAAGCUAAAUAUUGGCGAGAGACCGAUAGUGAACAAGUACCGUGAGGGAAAGAUGAAAAGGACUUUGGAAAGAGAGUUAAACAGUAUGUGAAAUUGUUGAAAGGGAAACGCUUGAAGUCAGUUAUGUUGGCUAGGGAUCAACCUAGCUAUUUUUUGCUGGGUGAAUUUCCUAGUCUGACAGGCCAACAUCAGUCUUGACUGCUGGAAAAGAGCAGAGGGAAUGUGGCACCUUUGGGUGUGUUAUAGCCCUUUGUCAUAUGUAGCAGUUGUGACUGAGGGAUGCAGCGUGCCAUGAGGCUGGGUUUCGACCACUAUCACGCUUAGGAUGUUGGCUUUUAAUGGCUUCAAUCGACCCGUCUUGAAACACGGACCAAGGAGUCUAACAUGCCUGCGAGUGUUUGGGUGGAAAACCCUUGUGCACAAUGAAAGUGAAAGUUGAGAUCCCUGUCGUGGGGAGCAUCGACGCCCGGACCUGAGCUUUUAGCAAUGGAUCCGCGGUAGAGCAUGCAUGUUGGGACCCGAAAGAUGGUGAACUAUGCCUGAAUAGGGCAAAGCCAGAGGAAACUCUGGUGGAGGCUCGUAGCGAUUCUGACGUGCAAAUCGAUCGUCAAAUUUGGGUAUAGGGGCGAAAGACUAAUCGAA
Molecule: ribosomal RNA, 900 nt
Filed under: Amanita cf. fulva
Lineage: Eukaryota; Fungi; Basidiomycota; Agaricomycetes; Agaricales; Amanitaceae
Also listed under: 1 other name
Description: partial large subunit ribosomal RNA
Rfam family: Eukaryotic large subunit ribosomal RNA
Source: RNAcentral